AUUGAACGCUGGCGGCAUGCUUUACACAUGCAAGUCGAACGGCAGCGCGGGCUUCGGCCUGGCGGCGAGUGGCGAACGGGUGAGUAAUGCAUCGGAACGUGCCCAGUAGUGGAGGAUAGCCCAGCGAAAGCCGGAUUAAUACCGCAUACGACCUGAGGGUGAAAGCGGGGGACCGAAAGGCCUCGCGCUAUUGGAGCGGCCGAUGUCGGAUUAGCUAGUUGGUGGGGUAAAGGCUUACCAAGGCGACGAUCCGUAGCUGGUCUGAGAGGACGACCAGCCACAAUUGGACUGAGACACGGCCCAGACUCCUACGGGAGGCAGCAGUGGGGAAUUUUGGACAAUGGGGGCAACCCUGAUCCAGCCAUGCCGCGUGCGGGAAGAAGGCCUUCGGGUUGUAAACCGCUUUUGUUCGGGAAGAAAUCCUCUGGGCUAAUACCCCGGGGGGAUGACGGUACCGGAAGAAUAAGCACCGGCUAACUACGUG
Molecule: ribosomal RNA, 484 nt
Filed under: uncultured bacterium
Lineage: Bacteria
Description: partial 16S ribosomal RNA
Rfam family: Bacterial small subunit ribosomal RNA
Source: RNAcentral